Regulatory RNA element from Aurantimonas manganoxydans SI85-9A1, 170 nucleotides. It matches the Rfam family "speF leader". Rfam says of the family: This family is a putative regulatory RNA structure that is found upstream of the speF gene encoding ornithine decarboxylase in Agrobacterium tumefaciens and other alpha-proteobacteria. The record is from Rfam. Lineage: Bacteria; Pseudomonadati; Pseudomonadota; Alphaproteobacteria; Hyphomicrobiales; Aurantimonadaceae.
UCCUGGUCUCCACCGCCGGGAAAACUGAAGAGGCACACCAUCAUUGCCUGAAGUGCGGCGGGUCCAAGCCCUCCAAUCCAUGGCAGACUUUACCCGGCAACGGCGCGUAGCGCUUGCAGCCGGUCAUCGUCGCGUCUCGCAAGGGACCGCUGCGGCAGCCUUCUCGGCGG